AUAACCUGGGAAUCUUGUUAAAACGCAGAUUUUGGUUCAGGAGGCCUGGGACAGAGCCUGAGAUUCUGUAUUUCUGCCAAGCUCCCAAGUGAUGCUGU
Molecule: microRNA precursor, 98 nt
Filed under: Loxodonta africana (African savanna elephant)
Lineage: Eukaryota; Metazoa; Chordata; Mammalia; Proboscidea; Elephantidae
Description: mir-544 microRNA precursor family
Rfam family: mir-544 microRNA precursor family
Source: Rfam by way of RNAcentral